This 377-nucleotide ribosomal RNA is filed under the name uncultured bacterium. RNAcentral describes it as "bacterial SSU rRNA". It matches the Rfam family "Bacterial small subunit ribosomal RNA", at positions 521 to 896 of the family's 1533-position model. The record is from RNAcentral.
UAAUACGUAGGAGGCAAGCGUUAUCCGGAUUCACUGGGCGUAAAGCGCGUGUAGGCGGUUCGACAAGUUGGGCGUAAAAGCUCCCGGCUCAACUGGGAGAGGCCGUCCAAUACUGUCGGGCUAGAGGGAGGGAGAGGGGGGUGGAAUUCCCGGUGUAGCGGUGAAAUGCGUAGAGAUCGGGAGGAACACCGGUGGCGAAGGCGGCCCCCUGGUUUCAGACUGACGCUGAGGCGCGAAGGCGUGGGGAGCAAACAGGAUUAGAUACCCUGGUAGUCCACGCGGUAAACGAUGUCGACUAGCCGUGCCUUUCGGUUGUGAGGGGUGUGGUGCAGCUAACGCGGUAAGUCGACCGCCUGGGGAGUACGGCCGCAAGGUUG